CGGCGGACGGGUGAGUAAUGCCUAGGAAUCUGCCUGGUAGGUGGGGACAACGUUUCGAAAGGAACGCUAAUACCGCAUACGUCCUACGGGAGAAAGCAGGGGACCUUCGGGCCUUGCGCUAUCAGAUGAGCCUAGGUCGGAUUAGCUAGUUGGUGAGGUAAUGGCUCACCAAGGCGACGAUCCGUAACUGGUCUGAGAGGAUGAUCAGUCACACUGGAACUGAGACACGGUCCAGACUCCUACGGGAGGCAGCAGUU
This 257-nucleotide ribosomal RNA is filed under the name uncultured Pseudomonas sp. Its description in RNAcentral is "partial 16S ribosomal RNA". It matches the Rfam family "Bacterial small subunit ribosomal RNA", at positions 96 to 355 of the family's 1533-position model. Lineage: Bacteria; Pseudomonadati; Pseudomonadota; Gammaproteobacteria; Pseudomonadales; Pseudomonadaceae. The record is from RNAcentral.